GAAAGAAUUGGCAAAAUUCUGUUUGUGUGCGCAAACCAUUUUGAAUUGGACUGUUUUGCCAACCUGGGUGAAUAUAACGCUGGACUCGCAACAAGAUUGACCUUGCAAGCGGGUUCAGUACCAUCUAUCCGUCGCAUUUCAGACGAGGCAAAUGGACACCAGCCUUCAGCAGAUUAGAGAAGGUGUUGACCAACAAGAGGGUUCUGAAAGAUGUGGGGAAGCUGAGCCCUCACUACCAGACCUCGUCGUUGGAGUCUUUCCACAUCGUCAUUCUGCGUUUUGCGCCCAAAAACGUAGUCUUUCCUUUUCUUGGAAUGUUAUGCAGGUAACAGUACGAUCAUUUUUUCAAAGAAAUGUAUACCUAUUAUGUAUUAUACAAACUAUUAUACACGCAUACACACAUGCUCUUAUAAGUAUUAUUUUCUCCCCAAAGACUCUCCCUGGCAGUCCUGCAUUUCAAUGAAAAUGCUGGGCGUCCCCAAGCAACAAGUUCAGCUGGUGAGCCGCUAUUUAAAGUGAACCUCCCAAAAUACAAGAAGGGCGAGUGCACUGCAAAGCCGGUGAAAGCAGAGCCAACCUUCCAGUACGUGGAUAACCUGUUGGACCUCAUCUUUCACAAGGUUUUUCAGGACCCGGCCCCAUAUGUGAAUGAGGUGCUGAAGAUCCCAAUACCCGCGGAUCUCUCUGCCCAGUUUGAGAAACCUGACAAGCGGGAAG
This is a long non-coding RNA of Clupea harengus (Atlantic herring), 717 nucleotides long. RefSeq lists it as uncharacterized. Lineage: Eukaryota; Metazoa; Chordata; Actinopteri; Clupeiformes; Clupeidae. The record is from RefSeq and is a predicted model, not a curated record. The transcript is spliced from 3 exons.